UACGGAGGGGGCUAGCGUUGUUCGGAAUUACUGGGCGUAAAGCGCACGUAGGCGGCUUUGUAAGUUAGAGGUGAAGGCCCGGGGCUCAACUCCGGAAUUGCCUUUAAGACUGCAUCGCUAGAAUUGUGGAGAGGUAAGUGGAAUUCCGAGUGUAGAGGUGAAAUUCGUAGAUAUUCGGAAGAACACCGGUGGCGAAGGCGGCGUCCUGGACCAAUACUGACACUGAGUGAGCGAAAGCCAGGGGAGCAAACGGG
Molecule: ribosomal RNA, 254 nt
Filed under: uncultured bacterium
Lineage: Bacteria
Description: partial 16S ribosomal RNA
Rfam family: Bacterial small subunit ribosomal RNA
Source: RNAcentral